GCUGGAGCUGGGCACAUUUAAAGAGGAAAUAGAGGACCAGCCACCUCAUGGGAACACAGAUUUUUAUCCCUGAUUCUUUUUAAAAAAUUGCUCUAAAAAAGCUAUCCAUGCUGGCAAGAGUUUGCCGUCUCCAGCAAAACCUCUACGGUCUUAUAAUUAGGUACCAAAGAGGUAGGGAACUUUAAAACCAGAAAUUUAAAAAACAGGCCAAAUACUUUCCCUCCGAAGCAGGCUUUGCACACAGGCAUGCGGAUUGCUGGGGAUCACGUCCAAAUGCAGAUCUGUUUCAGCAGGUCCGGGGGUGCCCAAGAUGCCGCAUGGGAAGCAAGGUGGCUGGUGCUCAGAUCACACCUCCCUCGAGCAGCACGAGGCUCAGGGUCCACUGUGCCUCCUGGGAGCCUGACCAGAAUGGGACCGAAGAAAAGCCCAUGCGCUGCUGACCUGACCUGAUACCGGAGAUGCUGGAAGGUCUCCUGGUUCCCCUUGGUGAGUCAGCAGUCGCCCUCUGGCAUGGCCUGGAUCCACAGGGCUCCGUAUAGAAUGUGACAGUGGGGUUCCAACUCGCUGGAGAAGCUGGUGCCACCAUCUCUUCAAAAACAGCUUUAGCAGGAGGAAACAUCUUCACCUUAAAUUUCGCACUUCCAAAAUGUUCUCUGUGUUAUUAUUUGUAAAUUUAAAGUUAUUUUAAUCAAAUAAAAGUGUGAACAGAGUUG
Molecule: long non-coding RNA, 713 nt
Filed under: Sus scrofa (pig)
Lineage: Eukaryota; Metazoa; Chordata; Mammalia; Artiodactyla; Suidae
Description: lncRNA (ENSSSCG00030014445.1)
Source: RNAcentral